AUCUAUUCCAGAGGAUAGGCCACAUCAAGGUCAUUUGCAUCUUCGGACUGCAUACAACCAUUAGACAUUGAGCAUGAUGCAUUGUAUUGGAUGGUUUUCUUGAAAGAUUAAUAUCAAGUCUAUCAGUGGAGGUCACAAACAGCAUCAGGCAGAGACAUGUUCUUGAAGCAGGAUCGAAAAUCUUCCUGGUUGACUGUGAUAUUUUUUUUUUUCCCUCAGAUGCUUGAACUCAACUCCUAAUCGAGUACCCCCACAUCCUGACAUUCUUGGUCAGAUCAGUUAUCCAUCAACGCUAUAUGGCCAUGAAAUUUGUAGAAAGAUUGCAACAACCCUUAUGUAGGGAAUUGGAAUGUUAGCCCCAAAUUCGUGAUGGCUAGACUCCCCAAGACAAGAUGAUUACCGUUAGAAUAAAUCACCUCAUACACAUGUACAGCUGAUAUUGAAGCUCAAAGUAUUGAGAAUGGCAUUGGAGUUGUAAGGCAUGGAUGGGAGUGGAACUGUAUGCAUGUCACCUGCGUUAACUAAGUUGCAAUCGCAAGCGACUGUAUUUUCUUAAGAUACACAUUUUCAUAUCAACAUCCUUUUUGUCAUUAUCUUUUA
Long non-coding RNA from Rosa chinensis, 600 nucleotides. RefSeq lists it as uncharacterized. NCBI's taxonomy places the organism in Eukaryota, Viridiplantae, Streptophyta, Magnoliopsida, Rosales, Rosaceae. The transcript is spliced from 2 exons. The record is from RefSeq and is a predicted model, not a curated record.